AGUGAACGCUGGCGGUAGGCCUAACACAUGCAAGUCGAACGGCAGCACAGUAAGAGCUUGCUCUUACGGGUGGCGAGUGGCGGACGGGUGAGGAAUACAUCGGAAUCUACUUUUUCGUGGGGGAUAACGUAGGGAAACUUACGCUAAUACCGCAUACGACCUACGGGUGAAAGCAGGGGAUCUUCGGACCUUGCGCGAUUGAAUGAGCCGAUGUCGGAUUAGCUAGUUGGCGGGGUAAAGGCCCACCAAGGCGACGAUCCAUAGCUGGUCUGAGAGGAUGAUCAUCCACACUGGAACUGAGACACGGUCCAGACUCCUACGGGAGGCAGCAGUGGGGAAUAUUGUACAAUGGGCGCAAGCCUGAUCCAGCCAUACCGCGUGGGUGAAGAAGGCCUUCGGGUUGUAAAGCCCUUUUGUUGGGAAAGAAAAGCAGCAGGUUAAUACCCCGCUGUUCUGACGGUACCCAAAGAAUAAGCACCGGCUAACUUCGUG
Molecule: ribosomal RNA, 492 nt
Filed under: uncultured bacterium
Lineage: Bacteria
Description: partial 16S ribosomal RNA
Rfam family: Bacterial small subunit ribosomal RNA
Source: RNAcentral